CAGCUUGGAAAGCAUUCAGUAGAACGUUCGGAUGUCACUCCCCAGAACACUGGUGUGCUGGCCUGCAGAUGUGAGCAAGCUUUAAAAAGGAGAGUGACUCAUGAAACAUCGCUUCGAGGGAGAAGACCCACAUACGACCAGUACGAGCACUUUAAACUAAGCAUCUAAGACAGCAGAAGAAAAAAUCAGAAGGAAACAAUGGAGAAGUAUAAAGAGAGACCACACACCUAACUCCUUCGACAGCUCUGGUACCAUCCCAGAGGUCACUGGAUGUGAUUUUACUUCUGCAAUAUCCCACGUUCCUGCAUUCUAAAGAAGGAAACCAACAGUAACCCAAAGUGUGAUGUCAUGUUGAGAGCUGGCAACUGCAGUUUCAGCCUGACACUCCCAAUCCUUUUACAGCCUUUCCAUGUUCUCAUCAUCCCAAGCCUGCAGCUACUUUUAUUGCUGGAGAAGAAUCAAGCAAAGGAGAAAUGAUCUCCUAGGGACAGAAUCCAGCCAAGUUGCUAUUUGCACCUUCUCAGCCCUUCCAAUUGCAUAUCAUACCAGCACAGCAUUUCUCUGGACUUAAUUCCUCACUCAUCUGGACUGAUUUGCCUUUCGUGAGCAACAGAAUGUUGUCAUACAUCAGGAUGCUGUCAUACAUCAGGUUGGAGUUUGGCCUUCUGAAGGCAGGAGAGUGAAAAAUGGUACUAAUGUCCUUCCCACACCAACCCUGUAUUCUGCAAAGGAAAGGACUCCAGCAAAGAAAGCAACUAACGUAACGGCAACCUAAGACCACGUUCUGAAUCAUCAGAGUCCUGGACUACUGCUACUGAAGGUGGUGUAGCUCAGUCUGUGAGGUUAAACCCCAGGCCAGGGUUGAAGAGUGAGCUGCAGCCCAUGACCAAGCUGGAAGCCAUACGCCAUCAUGAAGAAAACAAUGGACACAACUCCUUCUUCACAGCAAUUUUUACCUCUCAUAUACCCACGGGUUUUAUGUUGGGGUUACUGCUUUCUGUGCUUGGUGGGGCGGCAGGGACUGCUCCAGUGGGAAGGCUACCAGAGCUGGGGCAUAGCACUGACUGCGGGGAGUUAGGCCAAACACUUAUGGGGAUGGGGCCCGUAGGCCCAUGGGCUACAAAGACAAAUUUUCUGGGCAACUGUGAGUCUCAGUGUUACCAUCUGCAACUCUCAGUAUCUAAAUCCUCAUAUUAGCCAUUAACACUAUUCUGUGUCCAAGUACAAGACAUUUAUUCUCCUAACACUGUCAGUAGCUAAAUAUGUUAGCGGUGUGAGGCACUCCCAUGUCAUUACAGUAGGAACCAAGGGUAGAAUUAGAAAGCUUCAGAUCAGUUGUGUCUCUCGAAAUAUGACUUUGGCUUCAUGAAGGGCUCACCCGUAUGCCAACCACCUGACUCCCCAAACUAGCUGCACCGCUUCUGCUCUGACUGCUGGGAAGAUGUCCCUUUUGUCAAAAUGUUAAGACUGAGGAGCUCUGCUUGUGAGGAAGCUGGAGGCCCAAAUGCUCAGUGGUUUCCAGUUUUCGCAGUGAAGUGGGGGAUGAAGUUGCGUUCAUGUUGUCAGAUAGGAGAGAUUUGUGCCCGAGUGUAAUGUAGUUUCAGCAACAAAUAUUUCUACUGUUCAGUCUAAUUCUUCUGUAGCUCUGUAGUCUCAGCAGCUUAUAAAGAAUGGGAACUGAAGUGUAGUGUUAGUCAGUGCUGGGACUUCAUUCCUUGUUCUCGAUCCUCUCAUUCUCACACACAAGCAGCCCCUUUAAGACACCGAUCUACAAAUGACGUGAGUCUGCAACAAGCUCCAAGAGCAGCAGCCGGGACUGUAUUUCAAUCACCAGCAUCUCAUUUUUAGGCUUAUUUAUCACACUUCUGAUCAAAGCACCACUGCCAAGUUAGCACUUAGGGGAGGGCACUUGGAUGUGGUGGUGGUGGCACCACCUAAGCUCCAACUCACAUUACACUCAUUCGAGCACGGUGUUUAUCCCAAGAGCUAUUUCCUAUUUUAUUUUUUAGUUUAUUUUUGAGAAAACUGAUGGCGUUUUAAACUUUGUUAGUGCUUUUCUUUUUUAGCUAUUGAGAGUUGAUAGGACAAGGGGGAAUGGUUUUAAACUGAGACAUGGAAGAUUUAGGUUAGAUAUUAGGAGGAAGUUUUUCACACAGAGGUUGGUGACACACUGAAACAGGUUGCCCAAGGAGGUUGUGGAUGCCCCAUCCCUGGAGGCAUUCAAGGCCAGGCUGGAUGUGGCUCUGGGCAGCCUGGUCUGGUUGUUGGCGACCCUGCACAGAGCAGGGGGUUGAAAAUGGAUGAUCAUUGUGGUCGUUUUAAACCCAGGCCAUUCUGUGAUUCUAUGAUUCUAUGAUGAUAUGAAUUCCUCUGCAAUGAGCAGGGACACCUACAGCUCCAUCAGUGCUCAGAGCCCCAUUCAGCCUGACCCUAAAUGUCUCCAGGGAUGAGGCAUCCACCACAUCUCUGGGCAACCUUUGUCAUUUUGCAUUUGAUAAAAUCACUUCUUAGCAAAGGGACAAAAGGAGGCCCUUAAAUGUCUCCCACAAAGUGGAACCCUUCAAAGUGGUCCUAAAUGGUCCUAGGAAGGCUCAAGCCUCUGAUGGAAAUGGCAGGAAACAUCACCCUACAUCUGUCUCUGCCAUGAGAACAAAUUGCAGCCACUGCCCAGCCAAAUUGUCAGAGCUAGUUGUUGCACAUAGCGCAGACCCAGGGAAAUUUGCAGUUCCAACAGCAGAUGGCACAAUCCUAACAGUUAAAUCAGCCUGUAGUGCAGCCGUGGGGAAAUACUUCCCAGGAUACAAAUCUGAAAGCUCCUGGAAAAGUCCUACAGAGUGAGUCUGCUGGUUUGUCAACGUAAGCGGUCUGUUUUUGGAAAUAGUGCAUUUCCUCUUCAGGGGAAAUUAUUUAUAAAAGAAAAGGCAUUUCUGAGACCGCUUGGUAGCAGUGGAGUUUAUUUCAAGACUCUCAGGUAUGGCUGUCAUUUUCAAUGUAAUUACUAUUCUGUUCUAUUUUUCCACAUCCGUGAAUCAUAAGGCACUAUUUGAGUUGUCAUUAUAUAAAGUAGAAACAAUUUAUAGUGGCCACAGAUACAAAGACAUUCUGUUUAGUGGAAGGGAAGUGAAACUCUACAACUAUUUGAUUGAACAUAUGAUUUGCUUCCAUGCAGAUCUAAUCUUUUUGUGUUUCUUAAUAAACAUCCACUAUCUUACAGAAUUAGGCACAAGCAAAAUAGCAAAAUGUUUCUCAUGUUUGGAAUUCAGUGACCUAAACAAGAUAUAUCAGCUCCCAAAGCCCUAGCCCCUGAACAUGCGAGUGCAGCAAAUGUAGCAUUUGGAUUCCAUUAUCAUCAAUGGGAUUGUUAAGCAAAUGUUCUUGUUUUGGCACUCAUUGUAAAAACACACAGAAUAUGACCUAGAGAUUUUCCCUUAAUGGGCAGUAUGGGAAGUCUGAACAUAUAAUUCAGGAUGACCAUUUCUUGAGGUUUAAGGAUUUAAGAAGCUAAUCCAUCUUUUUGAUAUGCUAAGAAAUUGCUAGAGGAACUGUCUAGUGGUUAGAUCAGGAAACUGUGAGUCAAGGCGUCUGUUCCCCACUUUGCCAAUGAAUCAUUUCCUCUUCUUUGAGUCCCACAAAACACCCAGACAGAAUCUGUCCCCAAGUAAAACAAACCCUUUACCAGGUUCAGCCCUCAUGCAACUCCCAGGCUCCUGCUUGUAGUAGAAACUGUAGUGUGUGUUAGAACUGGAAAGCUUUAAACAUCAACAGAGACGGUUGUGUUGUGGUCCUAUAUGUGAAUUUUCCCUCUGAGAUUUCACUGAGUCCAGAGCUCUGCUAUCAGCCUUCCUGUGACAGCACACAGAAGCAGUCACCUCAGCAUGGUCCACUUUUUUUAUUUUUUUAUUUUUAUUUUUAUUUUUUUUUUCACUUUGCAGAAGUGCAGAGAAAAAUACUUUUGCAGUGCUAAGAAGCCGAUCUUCUAUAUUAGCAAUGUAUGAGGACUGGAGUGCCCAACUCAGCUAAGAAUCUGGGUGAUUUUCUUGCAGUUAGAAGGGUUGCUGUAUUCAGACAGUGAUUCAAACCAUGUAUUUGAUGUCUUUUAAUUGGGAUAGGAUGAAUUGUUUUCUGUAGCUGUGUAUCUUUCUCCACUAUUCAUAAAAGGAAAUGUCAAGCCAUUGUAAUCUCAACAUAUUGCCCCAGAUCAGUGCUUGAAUGGGUGGUAUCAACCAAUGCCACAGUCCCACCAUACUCCUCUGAGUCCCUGGCUCGUUCCCUAGGUAUCAGACCUCAUUAAGCACCAACUUGUCAAGUAUAACUAAAGUGUAUUUGCCACUGCAUUGUAGUGUCAAAAACUGCAGUUGCUGCUGAUGUGUUUUCAGUUGCUGCACAUUCCCUGACUCCACCAUGGCUUCACACUGAGGACCAUGCAGCUUCUCAGUUCAGUAAUGUUUGUCCUGGAACCAGCAUUUUCCCAGAGGCAGAGAACCAGUGUGAUGCUUUAGUAUCCAACUCAUCUAUCAUCCUGUCCCACUGCUAAUCAACCAAACAAAAAUAUGCACACUCGGAGAUAACAAGGACUAAGGGUCUUGCAGUUAUUUUCCACAGGGAUUCCAGGCAUUCUCAUAUUUGCAGUAAUUCCCAGAAGUUUACUUCCCAUCUCCUUGCACAAGAAGAGCAGCUCUCUACAACAUUCAGAGAAAAUGCCAGUUCUGAGUUGAAUAUCGCAGCAAAAAAUGGCUUCAACCCUCAGUAGCCAGCGGAGGAAGAGAGGCAAUUUCAGAAGAGGAAAAUAUGAAAGAAACAAUGCUUUAAACAUGGAAAUCAUAACGCUCUAUUCUUUCCUUCCAUUGUUUGUCUUAAAAACAAUUAAAACAGGAACUUUUUCACAAAGAAAAGAAUUUUCAGUUUUGUUUGCCCAUCUGACUGUAAAAACUCAGUCAGCAUUGGCCUGAUACAUUCCAACUAGUGCAUUUUUUUCCUACUUAUCUGUCAUCAGAGGUUGUUGUGGUUUGGGUAUGUGGAGGUAGAUACGCAGGCUGUAGAUGUUUACAUCGGAUCUAACUGUUUUCAGCUCUGCUUCCUAGCGUUUCUACGGCGAAUACUAGCGUAUUUCUUAUCCUAAUAUAGAGUAGGCCUAAUGAACAGCACCCCGGCAAUGCUUGUGUCUCCCUGCUGAUAACAAGUGGGCAUCAGCUCUGGUGGAGAUACCUGCUUUGCAAAUGCCUAAAUUCAGGUGGGAUAAAUCUUGUGUUCCAAGCUUGAUGCUAUAAGCCCCGAUUCAGCAAAGCACUUCAUGAUAGCAUAAAACAAAGCCUAAACUUAGACACUUCUCUUGGUUGAAGCCUCAGUUACUUAAGGAAUGAGCAGACAGUCAGAGCAGUUAGACUUUCACAAGGCUCAUGUUGGAUUUCCACCGUCUGACCUUUCCACUCCACUACAAGAGAAGUUUUCUUCCUUCAGUUUCCUCCUGAAAACACAUUUAUUUCCAGCCCCUCCUGGCAUUUGCUCUCCCUAUCCAAGUCACAUGCGCUGUGACCCAAAACUGGGGCCGGCCAAGCCUGAGGCCCACUAGGCCGUGCGUACUUGUGGCUUAUUGCCACUGGCCCUUAUCCUUUUGUUUCAUUUCUGUGUUUAGCACCAAGGUCUUCCUGGCUGAAAACUUUGCUUGAGAAUAUCCAGACUGCAUAAAUACAGAGCAGUGGGAUAACAGCUUCACGUUAUUUGGGCUUUGGUCUGUAAACUGUGCAGGGGCCGGCAGCCGGCGUGUCACCACCCCCCAAGAGCCUCUUGGAGCUGAGCAGAGUCUAUCAGCAAAACAUCUGAUUUUUGUUUUCUCCCUUUCAUGUCUUUUUCAUAUUUGAGGAAGCCCAAACUCACAAAUUAAAACAGUGCAAGACUGUGGUGGUGCAUGCAAUUAAACCAGCUAAAAUCGGUGAGCAGAGCAGCACUAAUUGCUGUUACAUCUGUUUUCAGCAAAACUAAGUGAUCUUUAAUACGUCCGUAUAUAUAUAUAUUAAUUUCCUUACUUUUUAAUGAAAGAUCAGUGUUAGUAAUUGUACAAAUAUGGAGGAGUAAACCUUGCAGUCACACUAAUUAUGUUUUUCAGUCAUCUUGGACCUUUGAGGCAGAGACAUAAUCAUCCCUUUUAUGAAGAAGUUACCACACUCAUCUCCAGACUGUGGCCAAUGUUUUUGCUGGGAAUAAUAAAUAAGGAUAGUGAUUUACUAUUGAUGUGUUUACGGUGUGAAGAUGUCAGAGGAGAUGUCCAAAUACUCAAAUCAAAUUGAUGUGCUUUGUCUAUAUGUGUCUAUUGAGAACCAGAGAAAUACAAUUGCUGAAUUGAAAGCAAGAACUGCUGCAAGCCUAAAGGUGCUCAGUGUGCAGAUUAAGUGGAAAUUGAUAACACUGGUAAUACAGGAACACAAAUAUGAUCCUUUUUUUCCCCCGUUACAACAAUUCCAAUUCUAUUCCCUGCUGGUCAGUAAAAUCAAUGGAGGUGCAAUGCUUAGUAUUGCACAGUACAGGUACUAUUAGUUGGUAGAAUCAUAGAAUCACAGACUCACUCAGGUUGGAAAAGGUCUCCAGGACCAUCUACUCUAACCAUCCAACUGCCACCAAUGUUACCCACUAACCAAGUCCCUAUGUACCACAUCUCCUAGUUUCUUAAAUUGUAGAUGCCUGAAACUAUUCUUAGUUUCACACAACUAAUUAACCAAUAAAACAAAUACACAAAUUAAGCUCACUAAUAGCUACACAGCUGUAAUUAAGAAUUAUAUUUCAUUCCAGUGGCUGUUAUUUCUAUGGCCAAGGUGACUGUAUUAAGGAACUGAGUAAAGCUGGGUCAGUAUUACCAGAAAUAAUGCUCAGCAAUUUUCUGGGUUAAAAUAUGUUAAUUUCCAUAACUCUCCAGAUCAGACUUUCAUUUCCUUGUAUCAAGGAAAGUAUCAAGGAAGUGUUUUCUUUCAGUUACUCCAUGUGUCAAGUUUCAUUAUUAGAUUUUUAUACAAUUAGGAAUGAAUAUUUUACUUCAUCUAUGUGACACUUUCGGUAAACUGCAGGCUGGAAAACAGAUGUGUUGUAUCUCUGUGUUAUAACUUUCUGAAAUGCUCUGUGGUAACGUAAAUAAAUGCAUUUUGGUUUCUCGAAAUAGGAGGUUCUUUCAACUGGAGGCAUAAAUGCUUCUAUAGAAUUGCUGAGAAAUGUUUGUUUAAACUCUGACAAUUUUUCAGUAAGAAAUGAGAGAAUGAGUUGAUCUAUUUUUUUCUGCAUUUUUUUUUCUUCUAUUAUGUUUUGUAUUAAAACAGCACUGUAAAAUAGCCUGUUUUACCCUGUUCUAACCUGAAUAAUUUCCCAUUAUUCUGAAGCCAUAUCAAGGUCAAAUUUGCCUGCAGUUCUUAUUUCUGAUUUCUAAGUAUUCAAAAUAUAAUGAGUAAUUAAGAACUACAAGCAGUACAAAAAAUGAUCUAUAAAUUCCAAAAAAGUAUUAAACACCCUGCUUGCAUAACUUCCAAGGUUUCACAAUUCUUGAGCAUUUCAUUUU
Long non-coding RNA from Gallus gallus (chicken), 7537 nucleotides. NCBI's taxonomy places the organism in Eukaryota, Metazoa, Chordata, Aves, Galliformes, Phasianidae. The record is from Ensembl.